RNAcentral lists this unclassified non-coding RNA (4290 nucleotides) under Hevea brasiliensis (rubber tree). The record is from RNAcentral. Lineage: Eukaryota; Viridiplantae; Streptophyta; Magnoliopsida; Malpighiales; Euphorbiaceae.
GGAAGCUCUAGAACUUGAGAGACAGCUCUGUGUUAGUUCAUUGCAGGUCUCGCUCUCAUCAACGCAAUCUCUCUCGAAGCCUCUAACUGUCUUUCUCUCUAUCUUCACCACUACCACCUUCUCAUUAGCAACUUUCCAUCUCUCCUUCCACAUUUUGCAUUUUCAUAUCAGGUUCGUAGCUCUUUCUCAUCUUUAUAUAUGGGCUUAAUUUUAGUUACACGCUUCUUUCUUGUUUCUUUUAUUGCAAUUAUAUUUUGGACAUGCCAUGAAGUAGUGAUCCUUGCUUCUCGUUUUCUUACUUGUUUCUUUAAUCAAAUUAAGUUAAUAACUGCUACUGAAGUAAAUGAGCAUCUCUGAAUUUGGGUUGUUGUUGUUCUUCUUGUUUAUCGUGGAAAGGAUGGCUUCUUCUCAAGCAUAUUUACGUUCUUUUCAGUUGGUGAAAUUCUUUUAUUCCGCCACACUGUUUCCGUUUAGCAAAAUCUUUGAUACGGAUAACUGUAUCAAUAUUUGAAUAUUGAUGGCUUCACAUAUAACGUACGUUAAGCUUUUUUAGAGUUAGUUCUGGAAGGUUAUUUAAUUGAUUUGUUUCUCUGAGUAGAUAGAUUAUAGAUAUAGCUAUACAAAAGCACACAUACUAAAGAAUGAAUUUUUAUUUAGAAAUAUAUAAAAAAAAAUUGAGGCUAGCCUAUGGGAGUUGUCUGUCAAAAGACUAUAGGACUGCAGGGGAUAUUCGGUGUCUUUUAAAAUAUAUACUUAUUAAAUGUUUCAUGGUAAAUUCACCAUGAAACCAUUUACACAUGCUUCAUGAAAGCCUAAUGCAAUUACUAGAUAAUUUAGUAUUCAUUUAACCCCUUUACAUGGUUUGGUUAGGGGUCGCACCAUUUGAUAUGUCUCCAUAGAUUUGGUUAGAAAAACCUUAGAGGUGUUUGUUGAAAUACCCAGGUGAACCAAUUUUACUGUUAUUUGAUGAAUGGGGACUGUGUUCUUCAUGUCCUUGUAGAUUGUUAGUCAUAUUCUCAAUAUAUAUAGGAACACUAUGAUUGCCUGUUGUGGUGGUAUAACCAAGAAAAGGGAUACGACAUUCAUCAGAUGGCUUAGGCAAAUAGACAUCUGGCCUAUUUGGUGGCAUAACGAGAACAGAAUCAAUAGCGAUACAUUUCUUGUCGCAAUUUGACAUUGGAGAUCUAGUUGCAGACAAAAUAUGCUGAAGAUAAUCACACUUUCUUUAAAGUUUCUUAUUGUUUUUGAUUAUGAGCCUUCUUGUAAGCUUGGUCUAGAUAUCUUUUAGUGGAAAUCUUCCAAAGGCUCUGUGGCAAACAUAAUCUGUUCUAAAUAUAUAUAUAGCCAGUGGGAAGUUGUUUCCUUGAUUCCUAAAUGCAUUUUGGUGUAUGGGACAAAACUGUGUGCCCAUGUACACGCUUAUCAUCAUUAGAGCUUAAUCUUGGAGAGGGAACCAUUCCAAGUUUACCUUAUCAUUCAUAUUUUCUUAAUAUAGUUGAACGAGAAGGAUGCUGAGAAAAGAAAGCAAACAGAGUGUCCUGUCUCUCCUAAUGUCAAAAAACAGGAGGAUAGGAAGAGAGAAGUGUACAAAUUUUCUCCUACCAGUAUUAAUUUAUUUAAUUCUGAGAAUCUGGAGUCAAGGUCCCAACUGCAGUUCUGCCUUUCAUGCUUUCCUUUUAUUGAUUUUCAUAACUUAUGGGCCUGAUUUGUUUUUCUUUUAUUAUGAAGUGUCGUAUAAAUUUAUCAUUGCCAUAAAAUUUGUCAAAGUGUAGAAAUGGCCGAACAGCAGUACAUUGUGGUAUCUGAUAGUGAAACCAUCGGAGAGGAGAAAUCUUCUUCUGCUUUUCCUGAAAUUGCGAUUGGAAUUGACAUUGGCACAUCACAGUGCAGUAUAGCAGUCUGGAAUGGCUCCCAGGUAGAACUCCUUAAAAAUACUAGAAACCAAAAGUUGAUGCUAUCAUAUGUCUCUUUCAAGGAAGAUACUCCUUCAGGAGGAGUCAGUAACCAACCGUCCCAUGAGCUCGAAAUGUUUUCUGGAGCUGCAAUCUUCAAUAUGAAACGCCUAAUUGGCAGGGUUGACACUGAUCCAGUUGUUCAGGCAAGCAAAAGACUUCCAUUUUUGGUACAGACUUUGGAUAUUGGUGUCCGCCCAUUUAUUGCAGCCUUGGUAAACAAUGCUUGGAGAUCCAUCACUCCUGAAGAAGUUCUUGCAAUAUUUCUGGUGGAAUUACGAGCCAUGGCUGAAGUUCAGCUGAAGCGGCCUAUAAGAAAUGUUGUUCUUACCAUUCCAGUGUCAUUUAGUAGGUUCCAACUGACCCGGAUUGAACGAGCUUGCGCCAUGGCUGGUCUUCAUGUCCUCAGGCUGAUGCCUGAGCCAACAGCUGUGGCAUUGUUAUAUGCACAGCAGCAGCAACAGACUGUGCAUGAGAAUAUGGGAAGUGGAAGUGAGAAGAACGCCCUCAUCUUCAAUAUGGGUGCUGGAUAUUGUGAUGUAGCUUUGAGUGCUACUGCUGGAGGGGUUUCGCAGAUUAAAGCCUUGGCAGGAGCUGCUAUUGGAGGCGAAGACAUCCUACAGAAUAUGAUGCAGCAUCUAUUGCCAAAAUCAGAAAGCCUUUUCUUGAGCCAUGGCAUCAAUGAGAUCAAAUUGAUGGGAUUGCUUCGAGUUGCAACCCAAGAUGCAAUCCACAGGCUUUCUUCCCAGAACAGUGUUCAGGUUGAUGUGGAUUUGGGAAAUGGGAAAAAGUUAUGCAACAUAAUUACUCGGGAGGAAUUUGAGGAAGUGAACCAUAAGGUGUUUGAAAAGUGUGAGAACCUCAUAAAGCAGUGCUUACAAGACUCAAAAGUAGACAUAGAGGAUUUGACUGAUGUAAUACUUGUAGGGGGAUGCUCAUACAUCCCAAAAAUAAGAAAUAUUGUCAAGGAUAUAUGUAGAGCAGAGGAACUUUACAAAGAAAUGAACCCAUUGGAAGCUGCCGUCUGUGGGGCAGCUCUUGAAGGAGCAGUGGCUUCUGGAAUCAGUGAUCCUUUUGGAAGUUUGGAUCUAUUAACAAUCCAAGCUACUCCUUUAGGCAUUGGGAUAAGAGCUGAUAGAAACAACUUUGUUCCUAUAAUACCUCGAAAUAUGACAAUGCCUGCAAGGAAAGAGCUGUCCUUUACAACCACUCAUGAUAACCAAACAGGAGCACUUAUCCUUGUUUAUGAAGGCGAAGGAAAAACAGUAGAAGAAAAUCAUUUACUGGGCUAUUUCAAGAUUGUUGGAAUUCCCCCAGCACCCAAAGGAGUUCCGGAGAUAAAUGUGUGCAUGGACAUUGAUGCCGCGAAUGUGCUGCGAGUUUUUGCUGGAGUGACGAUGCCAGGGACUGAACUUCCAGUGGCACCUUUUAUGGAAGUAAGGAUGCCUACAGUUGACGAUGGACAUGGUUGGUGCGCUGAAGCGUUGCAUAGGGCUUAUGGGUCUACACUAGACCUAGUUACCGUGCACAAGAAGGUUUAAUUAUGAUGGUGAUCAGAGAAGAAAAUCUAGGAAGAUGAACAGCUUAUAAGAAUGAUAUUAUGUUUACAUAUUUCCAAAAAUGUGUGAGGAAAUAAAACUUGUUAUCUUAACUUUGAUAUAAUGUUCGUUCAUGCUCUAUUUUAAGUGUUAUUCAAAAUUUUACGAGAAAUCUAGUUGGUUGGGAUGUUAGUUAUGUUCUCCCUUCUUUUGAUUGCGUACCAGUGAUGAUGAAAAUUUGUAUUUUAGUGAUUUGCUGUCUUCAACAUUCUGUUAAGGGGAAUUAGUUGAUAAUUACGCCUUUAUUUCUUUCCUUUCAGAAUCUUACAUUGAUUUUCUCAUACUUGGCAAGAAAACUAUGACUACCUGAAAGAUGGCAAGCCUUCAGUGAGACGGGUCAACAAAGGCUGAUGUUUUCUGGACAGAAGUUUCUUUGAUUCCUACCUCGAAAAGUGGCAAAAAUUCAAACUGCAAACUUUAGCUUGUUGAUUUUUCAUUUGGAAUCCAUCUACAAUGAUAUUCGCUAAUAAUUUAAAAUCAUUUUUCUGAGAACAGAAGCUCAUAGCCCUGUUAGUAACAAUCAUCUAGGAUUCACUCUUCUUUUCCCUCUCUUUACUACCUUAAUUCUGCAACAAUAAGACAAUGUCUGUGCACUGGUCGGUAAUCUACAAGUGAAGAUGACACCCUACAUCAGCUUGAUGGAUCAUGUUGUUACCGAUGGCUGCUUUUUAACUCUUCAUGAUCUUUUGCGGGUAAUUUUUAUCCCAUUGUUAAGAAAAGCCAUUAUCAUUUCAAUGCUA